Drosophila guanche is the source of this 645-nucleotide long non-coding RNA. RefSeq lists it as uncharacterized. Lineage: Eukaryota; Metazoa; Arthropoda; Insecta; Diptera; Drosophilidae. The transcript is spliced from 2 exons. The record is from RefSeq and is a predicted model, not a curated record.
AUAAACAAAAAUUAUACAUGAAAAAUGUAAGAAAAAAAUAACUUCAACUCAUGUGGGUUGUUGGUUGGGUGUGCGAGUGUUUUCGGAGGGGGUGUGUGUGUGGAGGUGCGAAUCCAAUCAAAAAUUCAAUAUUAAAUGAUUAAUUUCAUGAACAACAGUGGAACAAAAUGUAUUCGAAAAAGCUCUUGUAAAAGCGUAUGUUUUUCAGGUGUCUCCCAUCUGUGACUGACUGCUCCUGGCCGAAUAGCGUUUGCAGUGGGUAUGGGGAAAAAGCGCAUGAACACAGACACAAACACACAGGCACACUCACUCCCAUCCACAUAGACACAAAGGAUCACAAAUGAAAAAUGUAAUAUGGUAAAUGAACGCCUCUUUCGUUUCCGGGCGCACCGAUGUGGAUGAGACACUCAGGAUACAGCUUACACGACACAAACCGGUCACACUCUGACAUACAUACAGACAAGACGAUGAGACGAUACAACAGGUACAACAGUCUACAAAUAUAGGGGGAUUUACAUUUAUGUACAGUACAAAGGAUGACCUUACACAACUCUUACACGCACGCACUUACAUUGGUACAUAGUAUGUACAUUUCUUUAUAUAUUUAUCUCUAUAGAUAGCACGAUACGAUAGAUAAAAACAAAA